GAUGAAGAACGCAGCGAAAUGCGAUAACUAAUGUGAAUUGCAGAAUUCAGUGAAUCAUCGAAUCUUUGAACGCACAUUGCGCCCAUUAGUAUUCUAGUGGGCAUGCCUGUUCGAGCGUCAUUUCAACCCUUAAGCCUAGCUUAGUAUUGGGAAUCGACUUUACUGUCGUUCCUCAAAUUCAACGGCGGAUUUAUAGCAAUCUCUGAACGUAGUAAUUUUUUUUCUCGUUUUUGAAAUACUAUAAACCUCAGCCGCUAAACCCCCAAUUUCUUAUGGUUGACCUCGGAUCAGGUAGGAAUACCCGCUGAACUUAAGCAUAUCAAUAAGCGGAGGA
Molecule: unclassified non-coding RNA, 334 nt
Filed under: soil metagenome
Description: partial contains 5.8S ribosomal RNA, internal transcribed spacer 2, and large subunit ribosomal RNA
Rfam family: 5.8S ribosomal RNA (bases 1-120)
Source: RNAcentral